Molecule: non-coding RNA, 907 nt
Organism: Paramisgurnus dabryanus
Lineage: Eukaryota; Metazoa; Chordata; Actinopteri; Cypriniformes; Cobitidae
Source: RefSeq, a predicted model, not a curated record
GUGUUCUAGCGGCCACCUGUGGAGAGAGAGAGAACGAGAGUGAAUCAUUGAAGAGCAAACUGUGAACGUGAUACCUACCCAGAAAGCUGUAAACAGCAGAGCCGGUGAGAAAUACUCGAAGUCUCAGUAACAGUGUCUUUGUGUUCUAGCGGCCACCUGUGGAGAGAGAGAGAACGAGAGUGAAUCAUUGAAGAGCAAACUGUGAACGUGAUACCUACCCAGAAAGCUGUAAACAGCAGAGCCGGUGAGAAAUACUCGAAGUCUCAGUAACAGUGUCUUUGUGUUCUAGCGGCCACCUGUGGAGAGAGAGAGAACGAGAGUGAAUCAUUGAAGAGCAAACUGUGAACGUGAUACCUACCCAGAACGCUGUAAACAGCAGAGCCGGUGAGAAAUACUCGAAGUUUCAGUAACAGUGUCUUUGGGUCCUAGCGGCCACCUGUGGAGAGAGAACAGGACGAGAGUGAAUCAUUGAAGAGCAAACUGUGAACGUGAUACCUACCCAGAGAGCUGUAAGCAGCAGAACCGUGACUAUCUGUGGGGCACAAGGCGAACGUGGGCGGACGUACGACAGGGAACGUAAGGGCACGUGGGGCGAGGACCCCCUGCCGACCCGAGGAAAGAUACACCGACAGUGGAGAUCCUCCUUACCAGUCACACCAAAAUUAUUCUGCCUCCAGGACGGAAGAAGGAGGGCGCCACGGUUAGCAGGGUCCAGGCCGGAGCCUGACGUUUCCCUUUCUCCCCCGGCUUAUGGUGGUUGGCACCCCUGUUGCCCUUGGCCUGUCUGCCCGUGGCUGCAGUCUCCCUGGAGGGAGACGAAGAGACCUAUUAGUUUUAAAUUCCCCUUUCCCCCAAAUUCCCAGUUCUUUUAGAUAUUUAAACUAAAUAAAGCUUGUUUUAAAUUUUA